This 136-nucleotide ribosomal RNA is filed under the name Prolemur simus (greater bamboo lemur). The record is from RNAcentral. Lineage: Eukaryota; Metazoa; Chordata; Mammalia; Primates; Lemuridae.
GUCUAUGGCCACACCACCCUGAAUGUGCCCAAUCUCAUCUGAUCUCGGAAGCUAAGCAGGGUUGGGCCUGGUUAGUACUUGGAUGGGAGAAUUAUCUGGGGGUUUGCUAAGAAUGCAGAAUCCUGGGCCCUACCCC